RNAcentral lists this long non-coding RNA (1444 nucleotides) under Delphinapterus leucas (beluga whale). RNAcentral's name for it is "lncRNA (ENSDLEG00000006097.1)". The record is from RNAcentral. Lineage: Eukaryota; Metazoa; Chordata; Mammalia; Artiodactyla; Monodontidae.
GCCUCUCGCGAAGGGAUGAAGAACCUCCGCGCAAGACACCCCUUCUGUCUGGGAUCAGCCCUUGUCCGGCGCGAACACAUUUUGAAAGAAAAAAAAAAGCAUGGAUCUGGGAUUUUUUUUCUUUUUUCCUUUUUCUUUCAAGCUGAAUACUGUUAUCUUUGCCUUCCAGGCGGAAGGUCGGUUCCAACCCUUCUUUCCUGAGCUUCUCCUUCGCGAACGGGGGACCAUCGCUGAUGCUUCCUCCUGAGUUGGGAAAGGGAUAGAACUUUCCCAGGGAGGUGCGGAGUGUCCCCGCUGCGCUUUCCCGGUUCCUUUCCCCCAGAAGAGAUCCUGUUGCACCGGAGGGAACGUGCCCCAUUUCUCUGCGCCCCACCCACCCCCAAAUGACGGCGGAGACGGAAGGCAGCUUCUGUGUUUGUUUUGUAAACCUUUAAAACCCACUGCACUUAGCGCUUUGCGAGCCCCCUUGGCCUUCGCCCAAAGCAAGCCGUAAAGAGGUCGGGGAGCUCAGCGGACUGGGUGGGAGAGGGAGGCGACCUGCGCUGCCGCGACGAAGUGGGUCUUGAAGGGUGCGACCUCUCCCUCCGGGACUGGGCGUGUCCCUUAACCUCUCCCAACCCUAUCACCCUGCUGACCCCGGCUGGGCUCGCGGACGCGACUGGCAGGAGUGCGAGACCGCGUCCUCACGCCGGGGGACGCCGGCCACGGCCUCAGGUGUCGACCCCCCACCCGCCCAGCCCGCGCGGCCGCUCUCCCGGGACCCGGGAGUGGGGGGAGGGUGGUGGAGUUGGCGGCGGGGCUGCCGGGUGGGGUCGAAGGGGGCGCCGGCCGCUGCCCCGAUUGGCUGCGCCGCCGCCCCCUCCCCGCGCCGCGCGCCCCCGGCCCGCAGCCCGGGAGCUGGUUCCUGCUGGAGGGAGAACGUGCGGGGGCGGGACCGGUCUCCCCGCCCCGCACCCGACCCCGGGCGCGCGGGGAUAAAACCCGGCCGGCGCCGCCCGGGAACCCGGGCCCUGCAGCCUCCGGUGCGCGGAGAGGCGGGGCCGGGUCCGACCCGCUCCCCGCGCCUCCGCCCCUUGGACCAGGCUCCGGGAGCAAGGCGCCCCGCGCGCGGGCACGCGACGGCCAGAGCGCCCAGGCGGUACCUUCAGCAGAGCAAUGAAGAGAGCCGGGGAGAAGCAACCGCAGCCGGCCGAGACGUUCCCUGCGCCCGGGGUUGCUGCCGCCGCUGUGGCUGCCUGAAACUCCCCAAAGUUGCGAGCCAGCGAGAGGCUGCCGCCCGCCGGGAGCUAAAGGGAAAGGAACGCGUAAGAUGCCGGAGUGACAGACAGACAGACGCACAGACCUGCAGAAGACACCACCGUCGGCGGCCUAUCCCCGGAGCCCGUGAGGCUUCCCAGCUCCGUUCACUGGUGGGAGGCUGAGCUGGUGGAAAAGGCGCCUGGAA